Molecule: ribosomal RNA, 660 nt
Filed under: uncultured bacterium
Lineage: Bacteria
Description: bacterial SSU rRNA
Rfam family: Bacterial small subunit ribosomal RNA
Source: RNAcentral
AGUGGCGGACGGGUGAGUAACGCGUGAGAAUCUGCCUUGGGGUCGGGGAUAACCACUGGAAACGGUGGCUAAUACCGGAUAAGCCGAUUGGUGAAAGAUUUAUUGCCCGAAGAGGAGCUCGCGUCUGAUUAGCUAGUUGGUGAGGUAAGAGCUCACCAAGGCAGCGAUCAGUAGCUGGUCUGAGAGGACGAUCAGCCACACUGGGACUGAGACACGGCCCAGACUCCUACGGGAGGCAGCAGUGGGGAAUUUUCCGCAAUGGGCGAAAGCCUGACGGAGCAAGACCGCGUGAGGGAGGAAGGCUCUUGGGUUGUAAACCUCUUUUCUCAGGGAAGAAGCUCUGACGGUACCUGAGGAAUCAGCCUCGGCUAACUCCGUGCCAGCAGCCGCGGUAAUACGGAGGAGGCAAGCGUUAUCCGGAAUUAUUGGGCGUAAAGCGUCCGCAGGUGGCGAUUCAAGUCUGCUGUCAAAGCACGGGGCUUAACUCCGUAAAGGCAGUGGAAACUGAAUAGCUAGAGUGCCGUAGGGGUAGAGGGAAUUCCCGGUGUAGCGGUGAAAUGCGUAGAGAUCGGGAAGAACAUCGGUGGCGAAAGCGCUCUACUGGACGGCAACUGACACUCAGGGACGAAAGCUAGGGGAGCGAAUGGGAUUAGAUACCCC